GAAAUGCGAUAAGUAAUGUGAAUUGCAGAAUUCAGUGAAUCAUCGAAUCUUUGAACGCACCUUGCACUCUCUGGUAUUCCGGAGAGUACGCCUGUUUGAGUGUCAUGAAACUCUCACUCCCUACCUUUUCUUAAUCGAGAGGGAAGGGACGUGGACUUGGACUCUGCUGGUCUUCGGAUCGGCUUGUCUGAAAUGUAUUAGCUGGAUCCUCUUUGUAAUUGGUUCUACUCGACGUGAUAAGUAUUUCGUCGAGGACAGUCUUAACGGACUGGCCGAGAGAAGAAGAGUCUUUUAGAUCCGCUUCUAAUCCGUGCGAGCUUCGUGCUCCACACUUUUUAUGAUCUGGCCUCAAAUCAGGUGGGACUACCCGCUGAACUUAA
This 380-nucleotide unclassified non-coding RNA is filed under the name uncultured Udeniomyces. RNAcentral's name for it is "sequence contains ITS1". The stretch from base 1 to 105 matches the Rfam family "5.8S ribosomal RNA", at positions 50 to 154 of the family's 154-position model. The record is from RNAcentral. Lineage: Eukaryota; Fungi; Basidiomycota; Tremellomycetes; Cystofilobasidiales.